RNAcentral lists this ribosomal RNA (590 nucleotides) under uncultured Burkholderia sp. RNAcentral describes it as "bacterial SSU rRNA". It matches the Rfam family "Bacterial small subunit ribosomal RNA", at positions 418 to 1003 of the family's 1533-position model. The record is from RNAcentral. Lineage: Bacteria; Pseudomonadati; Pseudomonadota; Betaproteobacteria; Burkholderiales; Burkholderiaceae.
UCGGGUUGUAAAGCACUUUUGUCCGGAAAGAAAACCUUUGGGCUAAUACCCUGAGGGGAUGACGGUACCGGAAGAAUAAGCACCGGCUAACUACGUGCCAGCAGCGCGGUAAUCGUAGGGUGCGAGCGUUAAUCGGAAUUACUGGGCGUAAAGCGUGCGCAGGCGGUUCGUUAAGACAGAUGUGAAAUCCCCGGGCUUAACCUGGGAACUGCAUUUGUGACUGGCGAGCUAGAGUAUGGCAGAGGGGGGUAGAAUUCCACGUGUAGCAGUGAAAUGCGUAGAGAUGUGGAGGAAUACCGAUGGCGAAGGCAGCCCCCUGGGCCAAUACUGACGCUCAUGCACGAAAGCGUGGGGAGCAAACAGGAUUAGAUACCCUGGUAGUCCACGCCCUAAACGAUGUCAACUAGUUGUUGGGGAUUCAUUUCCUUAGUAACGUAGCUAACGCGUGAAGUUGACCGCCUGGGGAGUACGGUCGCAAGAUUAAAACUCAAAGGAAUUGACGGGGACCCGCACAAGCGAUGGAUGAUGUGGAUUAAUUCGAUGCAACGCGAAAAACCUUGCCUACCCUUGACAUGGUCGGAACCCUGCUG